CUAAAUUUGGGAGAAUGAUAGAAUACAUGGACGGAGUACCCACCCAUGGAGCUUUUAAGAGGCAAACUUUGCCUCAAUCUCACUGUGGAGGUUAUAGUUUGGUUUUCGAGGCUGUAACCAGUGUACAAAGCUCCAGUGCCCACAGUAAUACCCAGGCUGGUUGGGCCUAUGCCAAAUUUCAUCAUGGUUUAUUGCAUACGAUGAAGGUGGAUGUCAAUUCUUGG
RNAcentral lists this unclassified non-coding RNA (224 nucleotides) under Hevea brasiliensis (rubber tree). Lineage: Eukaryota; Viridiplantae; Streptophyta; Magnoliopsida; Malpighiales; Euphorbiaceae. The record is from RNAcentral.